CGCACCUUGCGCUCCUUGGUAUUCCGAGGAGCAUGCCUGUUUGAGUGUCUUGAAGUCAUCAACCCUGCACGUUUCUCACGUGACGGGUUGGAGCUGGGGGCCUUGCCGCCGUUGAUGGCGGCUCCCCUCAAAUGUGUCGGUUUGUGGCCUGUGGGUCGGACUCGACUGGGCGUUGUAACCAUCCUCGCUCGACACCGAGUCGCACCCGCCUCUGAGCGCCCGAACCAGAGACCUGCCGUCCUCGGGAAGUGGCGGUCAAUACAUAAUUGAAAUCUGACCUCAAAUCAGGUAGGACUACCCGCUGAACUUAA
This 311-nucleotide unclassified non-coding RNA is filed under the name Trechispora invisitata. RNAcentral describes it as "partial contains 5.8S ribosomal RNA, internal transcribed spacer 2, and large subunit ribosomal RNA". The record is from RNAcentral. Lineage: Eukaryota; Fungi; Basidiomycota; Agaricomycetes; Trechisporales; Hydnodontaceae.